UACGUAGGGUGCGAGCGUUAAUCGGAAUUACUGGGCGUAAAGCGUGCGCAGGCGGUUCGUCAAGUCUGAUGUGAAAGCCCCGGGCUCAACCUGGGAAUGGCAUUGGAUACUAGCGAGCUUGAGUGUGGCAGAGGGGGGUGGAAUUCCACGUGUAGCAGUGAAAUGCGUAGAGAUGUGGAGGAACACCGAUGGCGAAGGCAGCCCCCUGGGCUGACACUGACGCUCAGGCACGAAAGCGUGGGGAGCAAACAGG
This 253-nucleotide ribosomal RNA is filed under the name uncultured bacterium. Its description in RNAcentral is "partial 16S ribosomal RNA". It matches the Rfam family "Bacterial small subunit ribosomal RNA", at positions 524 to 776 of the family's 1533-position model. The record is from RNAcentral.